GACGAACGCUGGCGGCGUGCCUAAUACAUGCAAGUCGAACGAACCGCGACUAGGUGCUUGCACUAGGUCAAGGUGAGUGGGGAAAGGGUGAGUAACACGAGCGUACCCUACCUCAGAGUGGGGGAUAACAGACGGAAACGAAUGCUAAUACCGCUUAGGAACUACGUUCACAUCAUUUUGAGAGGAGCGUUGGCGCAAGCUUUCGCGAAGAGAUGGACGCGCGGUGCCUUAGUUAGUUGGUAGGGAAAAGGCCAACCAAGGGUAUGUUGCAUAGCCGACCGGAGAGGGUGAUCGGCCACAUUGGGACGGGGACACGGCCAAACCCCCUACGGGAGGCAGCAGUAGGGAAUCUUCCGCAAUGGACGCAAGUCUGACGGAGCAACGCGGCGUGAGGGAAGAAGGCCUUCGGAUCGUAAGGCUCUGUUGUUGGGGAAGAACAGCGCAUAGAGUAAAUGUUAGGCGUGUGACGGUACCUAACCAGAAAGCCACGGCUAACUACGUG
This 502-nucleotide ribosomal RNA is filed under the name uncultured bacterium. Its description in RNAcentral is "partial 16S ribosomal RNA". It matches the Rfam family "Bacterial small subunit ribosomal RNA", at positions 28 to 507 of the family's 1533-position model. The record is from RNAcentral.